GUCUAAGAAUUGUAUCCAAUCGAAGAGUCUCUUGCCCAAUCCUCUAUAUCAAAACUUUGUUCGUCUGUUUGGUGUAAGAGGAAGAAGCAGGGACACGCUUGGUACGAAACAUCAGGAAACCGACGGGUAAGACCACUCCAAUCAUCAUUAUCGCUGCGCCGAUAAUAUAUCUUAACGGACUCGGCGGCUCCACCUCUAUGAUUCUCCGGUAAGGCAUUUUUCUUUUAUGUUCUCUUUCUUUGGCUGGUGCAGCUUGGAGCGAUCGAUAGAGAGAAAGAGUAGCUGCAAUAAUUGUAGACGAAGGACCGGGAGAUCCGUUGCUUGCACUUCAAUGGCGAUUUCUAGUUUUC
RNAcentral lists this unclassified non-coding RNA (350 nucleotides) under Hevea brasiliensis (rubber tree). The record is from RNAcentral. Lineage: Eukaryota; Viridiplantae; Streptophyta; Magnoliopsida; Malpighiales; Euphorbiaceae.